AGCUGUUUUGGGACUACAAUUCCCAUCAUCCCUGACCAGUGGUCCUGUUAGCUAGGGAUGAUGGGAGUUGUAGUCCCAAAACAGCU
Molecule: non-coding RNA, 86 nt
Organism: Podarcis lilfordi (Lilford's wall lizard)
Lineage: Eukaryota; Metazoa; Chordata; Lepidosauria; Squamata; Lacertidae
Source: the annotation of a GenBank genome assembly